UUUAUUAUUUGCGAUUUUAUCAUAAAAAAACAUACAUAAAAAAAAUACAAAUAACACAUUCACUUUCACUAUAUUUUUUCUUUUUUCUUUUUUUCUGUUUUUUGCCCUUCUAAUUUUAUAAUUCUAAAACAUACAUAAAAAAAUUACAAACACACACACAUCCCUUUUCAUUAUGUUUUUCUUCCACUCCCACAUUUACAUAUUACAAAUCACUAAAAUUCAAAAUAAAUCAAAACAACACAUUAAACAAUUCAAAAAUUACAAAAUAUGACCCCCAAAAAAAUCUAUAACAGUGUUGGGAAGCCUCUUGGGACUGCAUGCAGUACUGAUGAAGGUUUCUUGACACUUGAACAAUAGCAGCACGUCUUUUCCACACGCCAUCACCACUGGCAACGCGUGGAUUCACGCGUCGCUGCUAGAGAACUCGGGCAAGCAGGGGUCGGUCACAACUUCCUCCCCUCUUCCCAUCCUCACCGGUGUAAGAAUCACUGUCACCUAUAAAAGGAGAAAAACACACAAGCCAGUUGAUUUUAAUUUCUUUCUCCUUUUUCACGAAUCCAUUUCUUUUUUCUUCUCCUUCUUCAGAUCUGCUUUUGUUCUUUUUGUUUACCCUUCUCUGUUUCAGGUGGUGGGGCGGUGGCGUUGAUGAUCUUCUCUCCUGUUGGUAGCAGCGGCGGUUGGGCUUGUUGUUGUCGUCCAUGAGGCUUGUGGAUCUCUGGUGAGGACGGCGCUGCUGCAGCUAACGGUGAAGGAGAUCAAUAGAGGCUCGCCCGAGAGAGGGAUGUCGCUGCUAGAGGCAGUGAGUUAGGUCUGCUGCCGAUCAGUUGAAGGAGAUGACCAGUCUUGGCUGAUCUAUGGCUGUUGCUGUUAAGGAGACUGAAGGCAAAGAAGACACUGCUGAGGGGAAGGCUUUGGUGUUGAUGGAGAUGAAGAGAUCGGGGAAGAUCGGUCUGGGUUCUGUAUGAGGAAGGAGAUGGCUGGAGUCAAGGGUGAGAUGCUCCUUUGGUUUUCUCUGGUCUUGGUCGGGAAAGGGAGAGUAAGGGUUCUGUCAAAAGAAAAGGGAAAAUCCAUGGAAAUUGGGGGAAGAAAGUCGAUGGGUCAGCUAAGAGAGGGGAGGUUUGGUAAGGUAAGGGAGCAGCCGGUUCUGGUUUGUGUUUGGAUGAGGGGGGUGAGUGGCGGCUGCUUCACGUGAGGGAGAAGAAAGAGUUAAGCUUUUUAGGAUUUCCUUUUUGUGUUGGCUCCCUCAAAUGUUCAAAAUUGCCCCUCCUUGUGUGAGUUGUGAAAACUCCUAUUUAGGUAAAAAAAUGUUGCUAGAUCCCAAACUUGGGUCUCUCAACUUUCUUUUUUUUGUAAAUUUUGAUUUUUCUUGUUUUUUCUUGUAUUUUUUUUUAAAACAACCAAUAUCAACGUCGACUCAAUGAGGAAAAUCAAUCAUUUUAAAAAUGACGCGUGAAAAGUCGAACGCGUUCAAAAGACUUUUGAAAAAUUAAAAUCUUUUGAGAUGAUGCUAAAAACGAUACAAAUAUAUUAAAAACAUAUUUUUUUUUUUCAUUGUUUUUCACUAUUUUUGGAUUUUUUGAAAAUUUUAUGAAAUAGAUGGGUC
RNAcentral lists this long non-coding RNA (1603 nucleotides) under Populus tremula. Its description in RNAcentral is "long non-coding RNA (PTRE_LNC003298)". Lineage: Eukaryota; Viridiplantae; Streptophyta; Magnoliopsida; Malpighiales; Salicaceae. The record is from RNAcentral.